CAGCAGACACAUUCCAGCCAAUCAGCAGCAGACCCUCCCUCCCAGACCCUUCCACCUCCUGGACAGCAUCCAUUUUGAAGCUGCAUUCUUAGUGAGCUGUCCAGGAGGUAGGAGGGUCUGGGAGGGAGGGUCUGCUGCUGAUUGGCUGGAAUGUGUCUGCUG
Molecule: microRNA precursor, 162 nt
Filed under: Pelobates cultripes (western spadefoot toad)
Lineage: Eukaryota; Metazoa; Chordata; Amphibia; Anura; Pelobatidae
Source: RNAcentral